UACGAAGGGGGCUAGCGUUGCUCGGAAUCACUGGGCGUAAAGCGCACGUAGGCGGAUUGCUAAGUCAGGGGUGAAAUCCUGGAGCUCAACUCCAGAACUGCCUUUGAUACUGGCGAUCUCGAGUCCGGGAGAGGUGAGUGGAACUGCGAGUGUAGAGGUGAAAUUCGUAGAUAUUCGCAAGAACACCAGUGGCGAAGGCGGCUCACUGGCCCGAUACUGACGCUGAGGCACGAAAGCGUGGGGAGCAAACAGG
RNAcentral lists this ribosomal RNA (253 nucleotides) under uncultured bacterium. RNAcentral describes it as "partial 16S ribosomal RNA". It matches the Rfam family "Bacterial small subunit ribosomal RNA", at positions 524 to 776 of the family's 1533-position model. The record is from RNAcentral.